CAGUCGACGCCCCGCAAGGGGAGUGGCGGACGGGUGAGUAACGCGUGGGAAUUUUCCUCAAGGUACGGAACAACUCAGGGAAACUUGGGCUAAUACCGUAUGAUGCAGCGAUGCCAAAGAUUUAUCGCCUUGGGAUAAGCCCGCGUCAGAUUAGGUAGUUGGUGGGGUAACGGCCUACCAAGCCUGCGAUCUGUAGCUGGUCUGAGAGGACGAUCAGCCACAUUGGGACUGAGACACGGCCCAAACUCCUACGGGAGGCAGCAGUGGGGAAUCUUGCGCAAUGGGCGAAAGCCUGACGCAGCCAUGCCGCGUGAAUGAUGAAGGUCUUAGGAUUGUAAAGUUCUUUAGCCUGUGACGAUGAUGACGGUAACAGGAGAAUAAGCCCCGGCUAACUUCGUGCCAGCAGCCGCGGUAAUACGAAGGGGGCUAGCGUUGUUCGGAAUUACUGGGCGUAAAGCGCGCGUAGGCGGUUUUACAAGCCAGAGGUGAAAUGCCUGAGCUUAACUUGGGAAUUGCCUUUGGAACUGUAUGACUUCGAGGACGAGAGAGGUGAGUGGAAUUCCCAGUGUAGAGGUGAAAUUCGUAGAUAUUGGGAAGAACACCGGUGGCGAAGGCGGCUCACUGGCUCGUUUCUGACGCUGCAGCGCGAAAGCGUGGGGAUCAAACAGGAUUAGAUACCCUGGUAGUCCACGCUGUAAACGAUGAAUGCCAGACGUCGGCAGGCAUGCCUGUCGGUGUCACACCUAACGGAUUAAGCAUUCCGCCUGGGGAGUACGGCCGCAAGGUUAAAACUCAAAGGAAUUGACGG
This 808-nucleotide ribosomal RNA is filed under the name uncultured bacterium. RNAcentral describes it as "bacterial SSU rRNA". It matches the Rfam family "Bacterial small subunit ribosomal RNA", at positions 59 to 916 of the family's 1533-position model. The record is from RNAcentral.